RNAcentral lists this ribosomal RNA (253 nucleotides) under uncultured bacterium. Its description in RNAcentral is "partial 16S ribosomal RNA". It matches the Rfam family "Bacterial small subunit ribosomal RNA", at positions 524 to 776 of the family's 1533-position model. The record is from RNAcentral.
UACGGGGGGGGCAAGCGUUGUUCGGAAUUACUGGGCGUAAAGCGUGCGUAGGUGGUUCGUUAAGUCCGUUGUGAAAGCCCCGAGCUCAACUUGGGAAUUGCAGUGGAUACUGGCGAGCUAGAGUGCGGUAGAGGAAGGUGGAAUUCCCGGUGUAGCGGUGAAAUGCGUAGAGAUCGGGAGGAACACCAGUGGCGAAGGCGGCCUUCUGGACCAGCACUGACACUGAGGCACGAAAGCGUGGGGAGCAAACAGG